Long non-coding RNA from Manis javanica (Malayan pangolin), 1942 nucleotides. RefSeq lists it as uncharacterized. The record is from RefSeq and is a predicted model, not a curated record. Lineage: Eukaryota; Metazoa; Chordata; Mammalia; Pholidota; Manidae.
CGGAAGCCAGGUCCUGCGCCUGUCGGGGCGGGUGGUGUCCGCGCGGAUCGUCGCCCUCCACGGGCCUCCGCGCUUGUCCCUGCUGGUCUGAGCCGGCGGGCAGGCCGCCGGGAGCAGGUUAAGUGUAGGGCGCGCUGCGCGGAGCCACGGUCCUUAGGCACCGCGUCUAAUGCGAUUUUCCUUCAACAGCAUCGGUAUUUGCAAAGCUUGUGCAAGUUGUAGCUCUUCGGUUAGAUGAGUACAAUCGUGACUUUAUUUGCAGUGGGACAAACGGAGUUGAGGAUCCGAGCCCAAUAUUCUUAGAGCCCACACUGCAUCCUUGCCAAAUUUCUGAUGGGAUGAACCCCAUAGAGCUGCAGCUGGACCUUCCUGGACAGUAGGAGCCGCCCACCACUGUGGCAUACGGCACGUGCAGUGGGGGACUGGUUGCCCGUGGUGGCCGGGCACCUGAUGAUAACCAUCACGAGGGAGCAGCUGGCCAUCGAACAGGACAGGACAACUCCAGAUCCUGAUCAGCACAGAGAGGACUCAGUGGACACUCCUUACUGACAAGCCCCUAUCUUCCAUUGGCUCCCCAUUUACCUUCCCACAAGGAAGCCCAAAGUCCUUAUCUUAUGUCUUGUUACUUCUCUAUUUGCUACGAAGAAACUCCAGGACUCCUUGUAUUGUGCCCUUGUUAAGAUGCGAUGGUGCAGCCAGAGAGCCAAGGAGGGCAGAGGAGGAAGGCCGAGUGUCCCCUGUGGGCCCAGGCCCAAGGUGGUGUCACAGGCGGGUCACGGGUGGAAGAACUUGUGGAGAGAUGGUAGUGUCCCACAGACCUGACGUCACAUCUCAGGAAGGGUAGGACAGCAUGCAUGACUACAGGGAGCAUCAAGACCCCGCUCGGCGCCUUGCCCAUAAAGCACACAAAAUGUUUGCUGAGUGUUUGUGUGGACCCUUCAAACCCCUUCUCAGUGGGACAGGCCAUGAAAGGCUCUUAGCCAGCUAAGCAGAGCACAACUUCAGUCCUGAAGGAAAUGAAGUGUGCUAGGAGAAGUUGGCUCAACUCAGAUUUAAAAUUACACGAAACAGCAGCCCUUGACCUCAAGUGUGGGUGGCACAGAUGGCGCUCUGUGGCCGAGAGGCCAGCUAAAGGGAGACAGUUAUUUCAGCCUUUUUUGAGGUUUAGUACUUCCUGCUUGGACACUUUUGGAAGUACAGGAAGCACAUGAGGUCCAACUAAGGGAUGGUGCCUCCAAAACCUUCCCUGUCCAGGAGAGCGCCCCCAAGGGGCCAGGCACCUUCCACAAGGCAAAGGGACCCGGCAAAGACCCACCCAGACCCGGGAAGAGCCUUGCUGCCGUGCUAGGAAGCUUGGCAGUGCCCCUGAUGUCACCUUCCUGAGGAAAAGGUCCUCGCAGCUUACCCGAAAUGAUCACCUUUCAGGCAAUGGCCGAGGCUAUGAUCCACAGCAGUCACCUGUGCAAGCAGAAGAGAAAACGGGAGCAAGAACGCGUGAGCAGGAAAACUCCGAACACCAGCCUGUCGCGGGUCUCCUGGAGGCUCCCGAGGGGCUGCAUCUGCAGCCCUGUGGCAUGGGCGGGGGUACAGGGUCAAGGCCCCCACGGUGGGGCUGGGACCCAGGAGGUGAGCCUGCCCGGGCUCCGCACUGGCCAGCAACAGCCCCAGCCACAGGGACUGGCCCCAGCCUAUUGGAGAGCCAGAGGCCUCUCCUCCCAAGGUGCUUGAAUGGCGGACACAGCUGUGCUGACCUCCUUCCUGAAGAGCUAACGUGGGCGCCAGUGCGAGUCCCAGGGUGCUGGCCGUGGGCUCGGUGCUCCUCCCAGUCGGGGGCAUUGCCCACCUCCUGUGUCUGGCUACAUGAGAGGUCUGCUCGUAGGGAGACGUGCAGAAGGGAGGUGGGCAGUGUGCAGGACGGUGCCCGCGGGGCCAAGCUGUGAGC